AGUCCGACCUAACACAUGGGACUUCCACAAUCAAGGGGACAACACAUAUCAAUACUCAUGCUUAUUCGAACGACCUUAAAAUUUUUGCCUUCUUUGGUUUGCUUGAAUCAUUGUGUAUGGAGUGAUCAUCAGAGGUU
Long non-coding RNA from Hibiscus syriacus, 137 nucleotides. RefSeq lists it as uncharacterized. The transcript has 3 exons. Lineage: Eukaryota; Viridiplantae; Streptophyta; Magnoliopsida; Malvales; Malvaceae. The record is from RefSeq and is a predicted model, not a curated record.